This 476-nucleotide ribosomal RNA is filed under the name uncultured bacterium. RNAcentral describes it as "bacterial SSU rRNA". It matches the Rfam family "Bacterial small subunit ribosomal RNA", at positions 915 to 1391 of the family's 1533-position model. The record is from RNAcentral.
GGGGGCCCGCAAGCGGUGGAGCAUGUGGUUCAAUUCGACGCAACGCGAAAAACCUUGCCUGGGCUCGAAAUGCAGGAGACCGGGGUAAAAAUAUCCUUCCCCCGCAAGGGGCUGCUGUAUAGGUGCUGCAUGGCUGUCCUCAGCUCGUGUCGUGAGAUGUUGGGUUAAGUCCCGCAACGAGCGCAACCCUCAUCCCUAGUUGCCACCGGGUAAUGCCGAGCACUCUAGUGAAACCCCCUCGGAAAACGGGGAAGAAGGGGGGGAUGACCUCAAGUCCUCAUGGCCUUUAUGUCCAGGGCUACACACGUGCUACAAUGGUCGGUACAAACCGUCCCAAAGCCCCAAGGUGGAACUAAUCGGAAAAAGCCGGCCUCAGUUCGGAUUGGAGUCUGCCACUCCACUCCAUGAAGCUGGAAUCCCUAGUAAUCCCAAAUCAAAACGUUGCGGUGAAUACGUUCCCGGGCCUUGUACACCCC